CUUAACUAUAACCACUGAACCAUGAAAAUGAGGUCAAGGUCAGAUGACACCUGCCAGCUAGACAUGUACACCUUACAAUCAUUCCAUACACCAAAUAUAGUAGACCUAUUGCAUACAGUAUAAGAAAAACAGACCAAAACAUAAAAACUUAACUAUAACCACUGAACCAUGAAAAUGAGGUCAAGGUCAGAUGACACCUGCCAGUUGGACAUGUACACCUUACAGUCCUUCCAUACACCGAAUAUACUAGACCUAUUGCUUAUAGUAUCUGAGAUAUGGACUUGACCACCAAAACUUAACCUUGUUCACUGAUCCAUGAAAUGAGGUCGAGGUCAAGUGAAAACUGUCUGACGGGCAUGAGGACCUUGCAAGGUACGCACAUACCAAAUAUAGUUAUCCUACUACUUAUAAUAAGAGAGAAUUUAACAUUACAAAAAAUGUUAACUUUUUUUUCAAGUAGUCACUGAACCAUGAAAAUGAGGUCAAGGACAUUGGACAUGUGACUGACGGAAACUUCGUAACAUGAGGCAUCCAUAUACAAAGUAUGAAGCAUCCAGAUCUUCUAGCUUCUAAAAUAUAAAGCUUUUAAGAAGUUAGCUAACGCCGCCGGAUCACUAUCCCUAUGUCGAGCUUUCUGCGACAAAAGUCGCAGGCUCGACAAAAA
This is a long non-coding RNA of Mytilus californianus (California mussel), 664 nucleotides long. RefSeq lists it as uncharacterized. The transcript is spliced from 2 exons. Lineage: Eukaryota; Metazoa; Mollusca; Bivalvia; Mytilida; Mytilidae. The record is from RefSeq and is a predicted model, not a curated record.